Juglans regia (Persian walnut) is the source of this 2451-nucleotide RNA transcript. It is a transcript of the gene named serine/threonine/tyrosine-protein kinase HT1-like, with no coding region annotated. The transcript has 4 exons. NCBI's taxonomy places the organism in Eukaryota, Viridiplantae, Streptophyta, Magnoliopsida, Fagales, Juglandaceae. The record is from RefSeq and is a predicted model, not a curated record.
UCUCUUCUCUACGGAAGGCGUAGUAUUUGUCAUUUGACUUUGAAGCCGAAUAAGGGUUCGUUGGGUUUGGUCUUGAUGAGCAGAUUCUGAUGUCUGGGAGGUCUGUUCGGUGGUGGGCUAUGAUGGGUUUGAGAUUUUGCUUCUGAUGGGAAUGAAAUUAGUUUUUGGCACCGUCUCAUUCAUGAUUGGUCUUCAUGGAGUUCAAUGGUUAUUUGAUUUUCAUGAAGGAAAAUUUUGAUUUUUAGCAGUCAAAUUUUCAAUGGUUGUUGAUGGGUUUUAGGAAAUUUGGUUUCUGGAGCUUCGAUAUUCAUAUAGUAUUGUUUGGGGUUGAGCCUUCUUCUCAGCUGGAGGAGAAGAAGAAGAAUAACGAAUUCUGUGGGUUUAAGGUCUUUUAGAGUUUCGACGGAUUACCGUGACGCAGUAAUGGCAGAAGAGGCUAAUUCUUGGAUUAGGAGAGCGAAGUUUUCUCACACAGUUUGUCAUCGGUUGGACUCCUCAAGAUUGGCCUCUAUUCCAUUCUCAGUACAGCUUGACCGAUUUUCAGGUUUGAAAUCAAGUCCCGGAACAACUUCUUCUCGUGAGAAAUCUAUCCCUAGUGAUUCAAAGAUUCAGCGGAAUCCUAUGACGGUCGAGCAGAGAUCUUGGUCCCCUUUACCUGAAACUGUGCUCUAUGACGCGUUCAAGGAAGCAAGGUCUGAGCCGAAGAGAUUCCUGUCUCCCUUUCUUGCUGACCGAUAUUCAGGUUCGAAAUCAAAACCCGGAACAACUGCUAAUGGUGAGAAAUCUAUUCCCAGUAAUUCAAAGAUUCAGCGGAACCCUAUUAACAAGCAGAGAUCUUUGUCCCCUUCGCCUGAAACUGUGCUCUCUGAUGCGUUCAAGGAAGCAAGAUCUGAGCGGAAGAGAUUCCUGUCCCCCUUUCCGAGGAGAAGGGAAUCGCAGAAGGGGAUUAUGAAAAAGUUUGUGAAUAAGGAUUUCCCAGAAAUCACGGCAUCCAAUUCGAGCUCUCCGUCGAAUGCUAGCCCGCUUAGCCACUUGGCUUCGCUGAAAGUCAAUGAAAAAUCGAAGACCCGGAAGGAGUUGUCGUGGGCAAAGUAUUUUGAUCAUGGUGGAGGAAGGGUUACUGCUGUAGAAACUGCAGAUGAAUGGACUGUUGAUCUGUCUAAAUUGUUUCUGGGGCUUAAGUUUGCUCACGGGGCUCACAGUCGGCUUUACCAUGGGAUAUACAAUGAUGAACCUGUUGCAGUCAAAAUUAUUCGGGUUCCUGAUGAUGACGAAAAUGGAACCUUGGAGGCUCGACUAGAGAAGCAAUUCAAUCGGGAAGUCACUCUUCUAUCUGGUCUCUACCAUAAAAAUGUCAUAAAGUUCGUCGCAGCAUGCAGAAAGCCACCAGUUUAUUGUGUCGUCACAGAAUAUCUAUCGGAGGGCUCCUUGAGGGCAUAUUUGCAUAAGCUUGAACCUAAAACGCUUCCUUUACAGAAACUAAUCGCAAUUGCUCUGGACAUUGCUCGUGGAAUGGAAUAUAUUCACUCUCAAGGUGUAAUUCAUCGAGAUCUUAAACCAGAAAAUAUCCUUAUUGACCAAGACUUCCACAUGAAGGUCGCUGAUUUUGGUAUAGCUUGUGGGGAGGCGUACUGUGAUUCUUUAGCUGAUGACCCUGGGACUUAUCGCUGGAUGGCACCUGAGAUGAUCAAACAUAAAUCCUAUGGUCGAAGGGUUGAUGUGUACAGUUUUGGGCUCAUCUUGUGGGAAAUGGUGGCUGGAACAAUUCCGUAUGAGGAUAUGACUCCCGUACAGGCUGCAUUUGCUGUAGUAAUUAAGAAUUUGAGACCUCCUAUCCCAGGGGACUGUCCUCCUGCCAUGCGAGCUUUAAUUGAGCAAUGCUGGUCCCUACAACCAGAGAAAAGACCAGAGUUUUGGCAGGUUGUGAAGGUAUUGGAACAAUUUGAGUCUUCGCUUGCCAGUGAUGGAACCAUGAAUCUGGUACAAAAUCCUACUUGCCAAGAUCAUAAGAAAGGACUUCUCCAUCGGAUCCAAAAGCUUAGUCCCGUGCAUCCUAAUAGCUCAUCAAUGCCUAAACCUAAAUUCACAUGAAUCUUUCAUAGGCCCUGGCUUUGUAGCUGACCAGACCAUUGUAAUUAGAAAAAAGAAUCACUGUGGCUCCACCUCCAGCAAGAUAUCCCAACAUUAAUUGUUACAGCUUGGUGAGCAUGCAUUUGUAGCUCACAUUUAUGGCACUCACAUAGCAUGCAUGAAGACUGCUUAAGAACAAUUUAUUAUUAUUAUUAUUUUUCUUUUUUAUUGAUACCGGGUGUCUGAGAACAAAGUCCCGACUAAUGCUGGGGUGCAUAGACUCUCGGUAAGGAGUUUCUCACAAGUGCAAGAGAACAAUUACUUUGUUGAAGUUGUUCUUUGAUUUAGAUUUUGUCUUUCAAUUCUGUUGACGUGUGAAUC